RNAcentral lists this small RNA (23 nucleotides) under Curtobacterium sp. ER1/6. Its description in RNAcentral is "Human immunodeficiency virus type 1 major splice donor". Lineage: Bacteria; Bacillati; Actinomycetota; Actinomycetes; Micrococcales; Microbacteriaceae. The record is from RNAcentral.
CGCGUACUGGGUCACCGGUCGCG